CCUACGAGAGGCAGCAGUGAGGAAUAUUGGUCAAUGGGCGUAAGCCUGAACCAGCCAAGUCGCGUGAGGGAUGAAGGUUCUAUGGAUCGUAAACCUCUUUUAUAAGGGAAUAAAGUUUGGGACGUGUCCUAUUUUGUAUGUACCUUAUGACUAAGGAUCGGCUAACUCCUGGCCAGCAGCCGCGGUAAUACGGAGGAUCCGAGCGUUCUCCGGAUUUAUUGGGUUUAAAGGGUGCGUAGGCGGCCUUUUAAGUCAGGGGUGAAAGUCUGUGGCUAAACCAGAGAAUUGCCGUUGAAACUGGGGGGCUUGAGUAGGUUUGAGGCAGGCGGAAUGCGUGGUGUAGCGGUGAAAGGCUUAGAUAUCACGCAGAACCCCGAUUGCGAAGGAAGCCUGCCAAGCCAUGACUGACGCUGAUGCACGAAAGCGUGGGGAUCAAACAGGAUUAGAUACCCCUGUAGUC
RNAcentral lists this ribosomal RNA (460 nucleotides) under uncultured bacterium. RNAcentral's name for it is "partial 16S ribosomal RNA". It matches the Rfam family "Bacterial small subunit ribosomal RNA", at positions 338 to 795 of the family's 1533-position model. The record is from RNAcentral.